GACGAACGCUGGCGGCGUGCUUAACACAUGCAAGUCGAACGGUGAAGCGCCUUCCUUUUUGGUGGGUGUGGAUGAGUGGCGAACGGGUGAGUAACACGUGAGUAUCCUGCCCCCUUCUUCUGGAUAACCGCAUGAAAGUGUGGCUAAUACGGGAUAUUCUGGGUCUGUCGCAUGAUGGGUCUGGGAAAGAUAUUGUUUCGGUGGGGGAUGGGCUCGCGGCCUAUCAGCUUGUUGGUGGGGUGAUGGCCUACCAAGGCGGUGACGGGUAGCCGGCCUGAGAGGGUGGACGGUCACACUGGGACUGAGACACGGCCCAGACUCCUACGGGAGGCAGCAGUGGGGAAUAUUGCACAAUGGGCGCAAGCCUGAUGCAGCGACGCCGCGUGAGGGAUGGAGGCCUUCGGGUUGUGAACCUCUUUCGCCAGUGAAGCAGGCCUGCCUCGUUUGUGGGUGGGUUGACGGUAGCUGGAGAAGAAGCGCCGGCUAACUACGUG
Molecule: ribosomal RNA, 494 nt
Filed under: uncultured bacterium
Lineage: Bacteria
Description: partial 16S ribosomal RNA
Rfam family: Bacterial small subunit ribosomal RNA
Source: RNAcentral